CACGUAGGGUGCGAGCGUUGUCCGGAAUUAUUGGGCGUAAAGAGCUCGUAGGCGGUGUGUCGCGUCGGCCGUGAAAACCUGCAGCUUAACUGUGGGCUUGCGGUCGAUACGGGCAUCACUGGAGUUCGGCAGGGGAGACUGGAAUUCCUGGUGUAGCGGUGAAAUGCGCAGAUAUCAGGAGGAACACCGGUGGCGAAGGCGGGUCUCUGGGCCGAUACUGACGCUGAGGAGCGAAGGCGUGGGGGAGCGAACGGG
Molecule: ribosomal RNA, 255 nt
Filed under: uncultured bacterium
Lineage: Bacteria
Description: partial 16S ribosomal RNA
Rfam family: Bacterial small subunit ribosomal RNA
Source: RNAcentral